UUGGAGGGCAAGUCUGGUGCCAGCAGCCGCGGUAAUUCCAGCUCCAAUAGCGUAUAUUAAAGUUGUUGCAGUUAAAAAGCUCGUAGUUGAAUUUCGAGAUCAAAUUGUUGAUCGUGCCUCGGUACGUACUGGCAUUAUUGAUUUCUCCCUUCUGAAGAACCUUGAUGUCAUUAAUUUGGUGUCUUGGGGAAUCAGGACCGUUACUUUGAAAAAAUUAGAGUGUUUAAAGCAGGCUCACGCUUGAAUACAUUAGCAUGGAAUAAUGAAAUAGGACGUUUGAUUCUAUUUUGUUGGUUUCUAGGAUCGACGUAAUGAUUAAUAGGGAUAGUUGGGGGCAUUAGUAUUCAAUUGUCAGAGGUGAAAUUCUUGGAUUUAUUGAAGACUAACUACUGCGAAAGCAUUUGCCAAGGAUGUUUUCAUUAAUCAAGAACGAAAGUUAGGGGAUCGAAGACGAUCAGAUACCGUCGUAGUCUUAACCAUAAACUAUGCCGACUAGGGAUCGGAUGAUGUUAAUUUUUUAAUGACUCAUUCGGCGCCUUACGGGAAAC
This 548-nucleotide ribosomal RNA is filed under the name uncultured Glomeromycotina. RNAcentral describes it as "SSU rRNA". It matches the Rfam family "Eukaryotic small subunit ribosomal RNA", at positions 548 to 1098 of the family's 1831-position model. The record is from RNAcentral. Lineage: Eukaryota; Fungi; Glomeromycota.